GCCAGACUCCUACGGGAGGCAGCAGUGGGGGAUAUUGCACAAUGGGGGAAACCCUGAUGCAGCGACGCCGCGUGAGUGAAGAAGUAAUUCGUUACGUAAAGCUCUAUCAGCAGGGAAGAAAAUGACGGUACCUGACUAAGAAGCCCCGGCUAACUACGUGCCAGCAGCCGCGGUAAUACGUAGGGGGCGAGCGUUAUCCGGAUUCACUGGGGGUAAAGGGAGCGUAGACGGCCAAGCAAGCCAGGGGUGAAAGCCCGGGGCCCAACCCCGGGACUGCCCUUGGAACUGCUUGGCUGGAGUGCGGGAGGGGCAGGCGGAAUUCCUGGUGUAGCGGUGAAAUGCGUAGAUAUCAGGAGGAACACCGGCGGCGAAGGCGGCCUGCUGGACCGCUACUGACGUUGAGGCUCGAAAGCGUGGGGAGCGAACAGGAUUAGAUACCCCCGUAACA
Molecule: ribosomal RNA, 448 nt
Filed under: uncultured bacterium
Lineage: Bacteria
Description: partial 16S ribosomal RNA
Rfam family: Bacterial small subunit ribosomal RNA
Source: RNAcentral